Molecule: long non-coding RNA, 246 nt
Filed under: Manihot esculenta (cassava)
Lineage: Eukaryota; Viridiplantae; Streptophyta; Magnoliopsida; Malpighiales; Euphorbiaceae
Description: long non-coding RNA (MESC_LNC007399)
Source: RNAcentral
CACAUCUUGAAGUUCUUGCUCUCUUCUUAACAUGAGUGCAUUCAGUGAGAUGGCCAUUUGACCCAUUUGUUGUUGCAUCAUUUGCAAGGUCUUCAUAACCUCAUUAUUAGUAUCAGUGUCCAUUGGUGGUGCUGGUUGGGCUUGAUAUCCUUGAUAAUCUUGGUAGUUGUUAGCCUCAUCAUAGCCAUAGUUCGGUUGGUCUCCCCAAUACGGAUUGUAUGUGUCAUGGUAGGGAUCAUGUCUUGG